GCCCGCCCCCAAGCCCAGCCCCGCGUCGCGCGCAGACCCUGCAGUCCGACGGCGAGGCCAGCAGUGAUACCUUUCCUAACCUCGGCGAGACUUUUGAGUAAAAGCCUUGGAGAAUGAAAGUCACAUCUCUUUUGGUCGGAAGCCAAGCUUUUCCUGUGAUGACUGAUACAAGAAUGAAAGGAUUCAGGCUCCUAGGUGAAAAAAUGAGAUGGAGUGAAGUUGGAUUGUUCAAGGUCACAUGAUGGAGCCAGCACCCUGGAGAGGGGGGUUAAGCAUCAUUGGAGAAGUGAGGAGAGAAAGAAUAUUGCAGAGGAAAAGGAUUUCCAGCACCUAUGCAAGACAGACUCUGAAAGAAAAGAUGGUCAGCUGACAACUUAUUGAAAAAUAAAUA
Molecule: long non-coding RNA, 391 nt
Organism: Manis javanica (Malayan pangolin)
Lineage: Eukaryota; Metazoa; Chordata; Mammalia; Pholidota; Manidae
Source: RefSeq, a predicted model, not a curated record